Molecule: long non-coding RNA, 676 nt
Organism: Octodon degus (degu)
Lineage: Eukaryota; Metazoa; Chordata; Mammalia; Rodentia; Octodontidae
Exons: 3
Source: RefSeq, a predicted model, not a curated record
GCCGGGGCGGUCGCGCGCAGAGGCCGGGAACUGGGCUGCUCUGGCCCGGCCCUGGUCGGUCCCGGGGCGCUAGGGGCCUCCGCCCGCCGCCGGGGCUCGCCAGAGGGUGCGCGGAACCCAGAAAGGCCAGGGGUUCGAGCCCUGAUCGGCCCGCGCCUCCCCCUUGCGGGUCCCGAGGUCGAACGCACCUCGCCCUCCUGCACCUCACCUUCUCUGCGCCUAGGAUAGAGAACAGCCCCCUCCCGCGUCACCCCAGAGCAGGCAUGGGAGUCCUGCUUGGAGAGCCUCAGGCUUCAGUCCUGUCCCUGAGGAAGCCAGCCCAUGCCAGAAGGCGCUGCCACCCACCUGGACCGCAGAGGCUCCCAGGACUCCACUCCACCGAGGUUGCUUCUGACCGCAAGUGUCCUUAUUAAGACAAGCUCUUGGUGUUCCCUACCCAGACUUUGGCUGACACCAGAGGAUCUAAUUAUGAUUCAUACAUCCACACUGCUCAGGAACUGGUCUUUCUAAUUUCACACAGUGCUGUUACUGAGAGGAGAAAAAUCCACUCCAGUCCUGGUAGCGAGACACAGUGCUUCUCAGUCUGAUCCACACUUUCGAAUCACCGAGGGAGCUUUAAAAGUCCUAGUGCCUCAGCCAGGGUUCAUACCAAAUAAGCAAGAAUUUCUGGGGAGGG